GAGAAAUGGAGGAGGCGGCGGUCCUGUUCGCCCUCGGCGCCUGGGCCGAACGAGGAUGCCCCACUCUGCACGUCGUCCACGAGCAGCUGCCAAAUCCUACCAGAGGGCAACGCCUAGCGGCAGAUCGGCUGUUGUGUGUGAGAACUAGGAGGAUGACCCAGAUAUGGAGAUGAAUGGAAUGCAGAAGAGAAGGUGUGUGGGGAAGAAGAGGAGACCUCAGGCCAAUCGGGUCAAUACCUGAUUUUCUGGGUCAAACACCAUCUCUUAAAUUUCUGUAUGUGUUACUGUAUCGCAAAGAAAUCCAGAGCAGACUGCAGAACAACAGCAAGUGCAGCUCAGUGUGCAUUGGCUUAGUUUCAGUUUGUCCUACAUCUAUGAACUGUUUGUUAAUCCUUUGAAUUGCAUGGCUCUGGCCAUGGAGUUGCUGAGAGGCGACAAUGAAGUUUGCCAUGUCCAGGUUGUUGUGUCCCCAAUUCAUUCCCUUCAUUAUGAAUUCAAUUCAUACGUGCAAUCCAGAUGCGACUUGACCCUUUCGUGUGUUAUAUGUUCUCAGCUCGACGACGGCCUUCUUUUCAGAUGGAUACAUGGAGCUCUGGCCAUGGAGUUGCCGGGAGGUGACAACGAAGCCUACCAUGUCGGGGUUGUUCUGUCCCCAUCCCUUCCCUCCAAUUCUGGAUUCAAUUCAUACAUGCAAUCCAGAUGUGAGUUGACUCUUUCAUGUGUUAUGUGUUCUCUGCUUGUUUGGUGACUAGGGAAACAUCAAACAUGAGUACAUGACAUUCAGGCCAGCAAGGAGUACGAUAUGUUCAAUAUUAUGGCAUAAGAGGUGUAAUACUGACUCAUAUUGCUUGGGAUGAUGAGCGCAAGCCUUGCGUGCUGAAACGACACAACUUCUUUGAUGGGUACCGGAGUAUAAAGUGCACGGU
Lolium rigidum is the source of this 926-nucleotide long non-coding RNA. RefSeq lists it as uncharacterized. The transcript has 3 exons. NCBI's taxonomy places the organism in Eukaryota, Viridiplantae, Streptophyta, Magnoliopsida, Poales, Poaceae. The record is from RefSeq and is a predicted model, not a curated record.